GUGCUUGCUUCGGCAGCACAUAUACUAAAAUUGGAACAAUACAGAGAAGAUUCUAGUAAAAGCAAUUUUAAGUUUAUUAAAAGCAAGAAAAAAAUUAACUUUUU
Nannospalax galili (Upper Galilee mountains blind mole rat) is the source of this 104-nucleotide small nuclear RNA. The record is from RefSeq and is a predicted model, not a curated record. Lineage: Eukaryota; Metazoa; Chordata; Mammalia; Rodentia; Spalacidae.